This 28-nucleotide small RNA is filed under the name Bombyx mori (domestic silkworm). RNAcentral's name for it is "ovarian small RNA-375". The record is from RNAcentral. Lineage: Eukaryota; Metazoa; Arthropoda; Insecta; Lepidoptera; Bombycidae.
GCGUUGCUGCUGAGGCCGCCUUGGCGAC